This is a long non-coding RNA of Astatotilapia calliptera (eastern happy), 1110 nucleotides long. The record is from Ensembl. NCBI's taxonomy places the organism in Eukaryota, Metazoa, Chordata, Actinopteri, Cichliformes, Cichlidae.
CCUAGAUAUCAUUUGUGGCAAAAGAUAGUAUGGCUUGAGAUGCAGAUAAACAUUUCUACUGGACUGAUAAACACAUGAUCUCAAAAAGUGAGUUUCCUACAUUGUCAGAGGUGUCCUUAUACGUCAUUUGGGCUACAAUUUGAGUUUGAGUUUUUAAAGGAUAGAUAUUUGGAUUUUUUUAAAUUAUUUUUUGGCUUUUGACUUUUAUUUGCAGACAGGAAAGAGAGCAGGGGAAAACACAUAGCAAAGGGCCACAGACUCGACACUAGGCCACUCCAUUUCAGGCACCUACACAACCAUGUCUGUCUCAAACUACUCGUCAGGUGUUAAAAUAUAAACUUUUUUUGCUCCUGAAAUGAUCCCUCUUAUUGAUACUGGCCACUAGUCACUAAUUUAAUUUAAAGUUUUAAUGAAAGCUUAAAGACUUUUUUUAGGGAUUAUUUUUUGCACAUAUUCACUGUCUUUGAUUUUUUUUUUUUUUUUGAUUUUUAAAGAUACAAAACUAUAUAAACUUCAGAUUUUUUAUUUAUUUAUUUAUAUCUAUUUAUCUAUUCACUGCACAGGAUGUUUAAUUUUUUUUAUUUUUAUCACUUUUUCUUUUUUAAUCUCCAAACUGUUAUGGAAGGAUUUAUUUUAGUAAGCAAAGCAUGUUUUGAUGUACCAACAAUGGGAAUAGGAGUACUGUUGUAAGACAAUUUAAAAACAAAAGACAAUUUACUCUUUUUAAGGAGUUGUAACAGGCUCUGAAUCUGGUCUGUUAACCAACAGUUACUGAAACGGGUCAAGCUUGUGCUGCACUCCAGUGGGUGUUUUUAGUUAUAGGGUUCAAACUAUACUUUGAACUCAAAGGAUUUUCUUUGCCUUAAAUAAGGAUUAACAAAAGCAGCUAAAAGGCUGAAAAGACCAAGUAAUAAAAGACUUUAAAUGUGAUUCAUUUGUUUGUCAAAUUUAUCAAGAAGUAAACUGUCUCGAAAUGGUGAAAAAACAUGUCUAAGUAUGAUCUGUUAAAGCAAACAUUUGAGUAAAUGAAGUAAAUGCAAUGUUUUUCAAUACCUAACAUGGUAAAUUCAAAAAAGCUGACUGGUUUCACAGACAUGAACACGGUUUUCC